UACGGGGGGAGCAAGCGUUGUUCGGAUUUACUGGGCGUAAAGGGCGCGUAGGCGGCCAGCACAAGUCAGUUGUGAAAUCUCCGAGCUUAACUCGGAAAGGUCAACUGAUACUGUGCGGCUAGAGUGCGGAAGGGGCAACUGGAAUUCUUGGUGUAGCGGUGAAAUGCGCAGAUAUCAGGAGGAACACCGGUGGCGAAGGCGGUUCUCUGGGCCUGUACUGACGCUGAGGAGCGAAAGCGUGGGGAGCGAACAGG
Molecule: ribosomal RNA, 254 nt
Filed under: uncultured bacterium
Lineage: Bacteria
Description: partial 16S ribosomal RNA
Rfam family: Bacterial small subunit ribosomal RNA
Source: RNAcentral